UACGUAGGGUGCGAGCGUUAAUCGGAAUUACUGGGCGUAAAGUGUGCGCAGGCGGCAGAGCAAGUCGAGUGUGAAAGCCCCGGGCUUAACUUGGGAAUUGCGCUCGAAACUACUUUGCUGGAGUGUGGCAGAGGAAGGUGGAAUUCCACGUGUAGCGGUGAAAUGCGUAGAGAUGUGGAGGAACACCAAUGGCGAAGGCAGCCUUAUGGGCCAACACUGACGCUCAUGCACGAAAGCGUGGGGAGCAAACAGG
Molecule: ribosomal RNA, 253 nt
Filed under: uncultured bacterium
Lineage: Bacteria
Description: partial 16S ribosomal RNA
Rfam family: Bacterial small subunit ribosomal RNA
Source: RNAcentral